Molecule: transfer RNA, 73 nt
Filed under: Candidatus Woesearchaeota archaeon
Lineage: Archaea; Nanobdellati; Candidatus Woesearchaeota
Description: tRNA-Pro
Rfam family: tRNA
About the family: Transfer RNA (tRNA) molecules are approximately 80 nucleotides in length.
Source: RNAcentral
GGGGUUAUGGUUUAGCUUGGUAGAAUUUGUGGUUAGGGACCGCAAGGCCUGGGUUCAAAUCCCAGUAACCCCA